RNAcentral lists this ribosomal RNA (340 nucleotides) under uncultured bacterium. RNAcentral describes it as "bacterial SSU rRNA". It matches the Rfam family "Bacterial small subunit ribosomal RNA", at positions 30 to 372 of the family's 1533-position model. The record is from RNAcentral.
AUUGAACGCUGGCGGAAUGCUUUACACAUGCAAGUCGAACGGCAGCACGGGGCAACCUGGUGGCGAGUGGCGAACGGGUGAGUAAUACAUCGGAACGUGCCCAAUCGUGGGGGAUAACGUAGCGAAAGUUACGCUAAUACCGCAUACGAUCUACGGAUGAAAGCGGGGGAUCGCAAGACCUCGCGCGAAUGGAGCGGCCGAUGUCAGAUUAGGUAGUUGGUGGGGUAAAGGCUCACCAAGCCGACGAUCUGUAGCUGGUCUGAGAGGACGACCAGCCACACUGGGACUGAGACACGGCCCAGACUCCUACGGGAGGCGGCAGUGGGGAAUUUUGGACAAU